Molecule: ribosomal RNA, 465 nt
Filed under: Vreelandella stevensii
Lineage: Bacteria; Pseudomonadati; Pseudomonadota; Gammaproteobacteria; Oceanospirillales; Halomonadaceae
Description: partial 16S ribosomal RNA
Rfam family: Bacterial small subunit ribosomal RNA
Source: RNAcentral
CCUACGGGGGGCUGCAGUGGGGAAUAUUGGACAAUGGGCGAAAGCCUGAUCCAGCCAUGCCGCGUGUGUGAAGAAGGCCUUCGGGUUGUAAAGCACUUUCAGUGGGGAAGAAAGCCUUGGGGCUAAUACCCUCGAGGAAGGACAUCACCCACAGAAGAAGCACCGGCUAACUCCGUGCCAGCAGCCGCGGUAAUACGGAGGGUGCGAGCGUUAAUCGGAAUUACUGGGCGUAAAGCGCGCGUAGGCGGUCUGAUAAGCCGGUUGUGAAAGCCCCGGGCUCAACCUGGGAACGGCAUCCGGACCUGUCAGGCUAGAGUGCAGGAGAGGAAGGUAGAAUUCCCGGUGUAGCGGUGAAAUGCGUAGAGAUCGGGAGGAAUACCAGUGGCGAAGGCGGCCUUCUGGACUGACACUGACGCUGAGGUGCGAAAGCGUGGGUAGCAAACAGGAUUAGAUACCCUUGUAGUC